GUCCACGCCCUAAACGAUGAGGACUAGAUGUCGGAAGGGUCUGCCUUUCGGUGUCGCAGCUAACGCGUUAAGUCCUCCGCCUGGGGAGUACGGCCGCAAGGUUGAAACUCAAAGGAAUUGACGGGACCCGCACAAGCGGUGGAGCAUGUGGUUUAAUUCGAUGCAACGCGCAGAACCUUACCUGGUCUUGACAUCCUCGGAAUCCUGCAGAAAUGCGGGAGUGCCUUCGGGAACCGAGAGACAGGUGCUGCAUGGCUGUCGU
RNAcentral lists this ribosomal RNA (262 nucleotides) under uncultured bacterium. RNAcentral describes it as "partial 16S ribosomal RNA". It matches the Rfam family "Bacterial small subunit ribosomal RNA", at positions 793 to 1055 of the family's 1533-position model. The record is from RNAcentral.